CAUAAAAGAGGCCAUAAGGGAUGAUGGUCGGGGAAAUUUCGACUGCCACUGGAAAAUGAGAUAAUAUUGGAUAGGGACAGAAAUUUUGCCUUACAACAGGCCACCUACGGGCCCUCAAAGAGUUGUUGUAAGGGUUCUUAACGUGCAAAGAGCGUGGCACUCUCUUAACACGAGACAUCGGAUUUAACGUCCCCAUUCUGACUGGACGU
RNAcentral lists this long non-coding RNA (209 nucleotides) under Mytilus galloprovincialis (Mediterranean mussel). The record is from RNAcentral. Lineage: Eukaryota; Metazoa; Mollusca; Bivalvia; Mytilida; Mytilidae.